UUCGACUAAAGAACCAUCAACACCAACAUCACUCUUCUUACCAGCGCGGCCGGUAGAAAGAUACAAAGAAGCAAUGGGAACGGCAGACAUACGAGCAGCACGACGGCCAAUUGCAUGAGCAGCAUCCCAAAGGUACAAAGCCUCUUCGUCGCUGCGGAAACGGAACUUGAAUGUACUAAGAACGUUACGAACAUUCUCAGCAGAACGUUCAACCAUCAUUCUGGAAAGAACAGAAGUUUCCAAAGACCAAGCAUCAGUAAUGGAAGGAGGGAAAAUACCUUCGUUGAAGUUGUAAACCUUGAUCAAGUGGAAUAAGGCACGGCGGAAAAGCUCACCGAGAUACAUACCACCAACGCGCUUCUCAAAGAUU
Non-coding RNA from Schizosaccharomyces pombe (fission yeast), 370 nucleotides. The record is from the annotation of a GenBank genome assembly. NCBI's taxonomy places the organism in Eukaryota, Fungi, Ascomycota, Schizosaccharomycetes, Schizosaccharomycetales, Schizosaccharomycetaceae.